This 301-nucleotide ribosomal RNA is filed under the name uncultured bacterium. Its description in RNAcentral is "partial 16S ribosomal RNA". It matches the Rfam family "Bacterial small subunit ribosomal RNA", at positions 509 to 807 of the family's 1533-position model. The record is from RNAcentral.
CAGUAGCCGCGGUAAUACGGAGGGUGCAAGCGUUAAUCGGAAUUACUGGGCGUAAAGCGCACGCAGGCGGUCUGACAAGUCAGAUGUGAAAUCCCCGGGCUUAACCUGGGAACUGCAUUUGAAACUGUCAGGCUGGAGUCUUGUAGAGGGGGGUAGGAUUCCAGGUGUAGCGGUGAAAUGCGUAGAGAUCUGGAGGAAUACCGGUGGCGAAGGCGGCCCCCUGGACAAAGACUGACGCUCAGGUGCGAAAGCGUGGGGAGCAAACAGGAUUAGAUACCCGAGUAGUCCCUGUCUCUUAUAC